Molecule: ribosomal RNA, 1963 nt
Filed under: Pyropia dentata
Lineage: Eukaryota; Rhodophyta; Bangiophyceae; Bangiales; Bangiaceae
Description: rrlA
Rfam family: Bacterial large subunit ribosomal RNA
Source: RNAcentral
UUAAAUUACUUAAGCUAUAUCCCAAGUAGCAUGGGGCACGUGAAAUCCCGUGUGAAUCAGCGAGGACCACCUCGUAAGGCUAAAUAUUACUGAAUGACCGAUAGUGAAAUAGUACCGUGAGGGAAAGGUGAAAAGAACCCCGGGAGGGGAGUGAAAUAGAACAUGAACCCGUAAGCUUACAAGCAGAGGAAGGUCGACUAAUCGUCUAACCUCGUGCAUGUUGAAGAAUGAGCCGGCGACUUAUAGGUAGUGGCAGGUUAAGGUAAAGAAUACCGAAGCCAAAGUGAAAGCGAGCUUAAAUAGAGCGUUAGUCACUAUUUAUAGACCCGAACCCGGAUGAUCUAGCCAUGGCCAGGGUGAAGCUUAGGUAACACUAAGUGGAGGUCCGAACCGACUGAUGUUGAAAAAUCAGCGGAUGAGUUGUGGCUAGGGGUGAAAUGCCAAUCGAAUCCGGAGCUAGCUGGUUCUCCCCGAAAUGUGUUGAGGCGCAGCGGUUGAUGCUUAAUCUUGGGGGUAAAGCACUGUUUCGGUGCGGGCUGCGAGAGCGGUACCAAAUCGAGGCAAACUCUGAAUACCAAGUGUGUAGUCAACCAGUGAGACAGUGGGGGAUAAGCUUCAUUGUCAAGAGGGAAACAGCCCAGACCACCAGCUAAGGCCCCUAAAUAAUUGCUAAGUGGCAAAGGAGGUGGGAAUGCAUAGACAACCAGGAGGUUUGCUUAGAAGCAGCAACCCUUUAAAGAGUGCGUAAUAGCUCACUGGUCAAGUGAUCCUGCGCCGAAAAUGAACGGGACUAAGUGAUUUGCCGAAGCUGUGGGAUGUUUAUACAUCGGUAGGGGAGCGUUCUGUAUUAGUUUGAAGCAUUAGCGAAAGCGGAUGUGGACAAAACAGAAGUGAGAAUGUCGGCUUAAGUAGCGAAAACAUUGGUGAGAAUCCAAUGCCCCGAAAACCUAAGGAUUCCUCCGGAAGGUUCGUCCGCGGAGGGUGAGUCAGGACCUAAGGCGAGGCUGAAAAGCGUAGUCGAUGGACAACAGGUUAAUAUUCCUGUACCAUUUAUUAUUGAUAUCGAGGGACGGAGAAGGCUAAGCUAGCCGGAUGUUGGUUACCGGUUUAAGUAUUAAAGGUGUAGAUGAAUAGUGAAAAUAUUCUGAGCUAAGAUACAAAUACAAAGUGCCAAGGCACUAAAGUAGCUGAUGUCAUACUUCCUAGAAAAGCUCGACAUAUUUUAAAUAGUAAAUGCCUGUACCCUAAACCGACACAGGUAGGUAAGUAGAGUAUACUAAGGGGCGCGAGAUAACUCUCUCUAAGGAACUCGGCAAAAUAGCCCCGUAACUUCGGGAGAAGGGGUACCCUUCAAAAGGGUUGCAAUAACCAGGCCCAAGCGACUGUUUAUCAAAAACACAGGUCUCCGCUAAGUCGUAAGACAAUGUAUGGGGGCUGACGCCUGCCCAGUGCCGGAAGGUUAAAGAAGCUGGUUAGCUUUAAAGCAAAGCUGGCAACUGAAGCCCCGGUGAACGGCGGCCGUAACUAUAACGGUCCUAAGGUAGCGAAAUUCCUUGUCGGGUAAGUUCCGACCCGCACGAAAGGCGUAACGAUUUGGGCACUGUCUCGGAGAGAGACUCGGCGAAAUAGACUUGUCUGUGAAGAUGCGGACUACCUGCACCUGGACAGAAAGACCCUAUGAAGCUUUACUGUAGCUUGGAAUUGGGUUUGGGCUUUUCUUGCGCAGGAUAGGUGGGAGGCUAAGAAAAUAAUCUUGCGGGGUUAUUCGAGCCAAUGGUGAGAUACCACUCUGGAAAAGCUAGAAUUCUAACCUUGAAAGCCGUUAUCCGGCCAAGGAACAGUUCCAGGUAGGCAGUUUGACUGGGGCGGUCGCCUCCUAAAAAGUAACGGAGGCGCGCAAAGGUUCUCUCAGGCUGGUCGGAAAUCAGUCGUAGAGUGUAAAGGCAUAAGAGAGCUUGACUGU